AUCUAACUGACGAGUCCCAAAUGGGACGAAACGCGUGUCCUGGAU
RNAcentral lists this non-coding RNA (45 nucleotides) under Schistosoma haematobium. The record is from RNAcentral. Lineage: Eukaryota; Metazoa; Platyhelminthes; Trematoda; Strigeidida; Schistosomatidae.